CGGACGGGUGAGUAACACGUGGAUAACCUACCUAUAAGACUGGGAUAACUUCGGGAAACCGGAGCUAAUACCGGAUAAUAUAUUGAACCGCAUGGUUCAAUGGUGAAAGACGGUUUUGCUGUCACUUAUAGAUGGAUCCGCGCCGCAUUAGCUAGUUGGUAAGGUAACGGCUUACCAAGGCAACGAUGCGUAGCCGACCUGAGAGGGUGAUCGGCCACACUGGAACUGAGACACGGUCCAGACUCCUACGGGGAGGCAGCAGCU
Molecule: ribosomal RNA, 264 nt
Filed under: uncultured Staphylococcus sp.
Lineage: Bacteria; Bacillati; Bacillota; Bacilli; Caryophanales; Staphylococcaceae
Description: partial 16S ribosomal RNA
Rfam family: Bacterial small subunit ribosomal RNA
Source: RNAcentral